UCCCUAGUGGCUAAGAGUUUAUAGCAUCUGCCUGCAAUGUGAAAGACAUGGGUUCAAUCCCCACAUUGGGAA
Molecule: transfer RNA, 72 nt
Filed under: Capra hircus (goat)
Lineage: Eukaryota; Metazoa; Chordata; Mammalia; Artiodactyla; Bovidae
Also listed under: 1 other name
Rfam family: tRNA
About the family: Transfer RNA (tRNA) molecules are approximately 80 nucleotides in length. Their secondary structure includes four short double-helical elements and three loops (D, anti-codon, and T loops).
Source: Rfam by way of RNAcentral